RNAcentral lists this non-coding RNA (21 nucleotides) under Caenorhabditis elegans. Lineage: Eukaryota; Metazoa; Nematoda; Chromadorea; Rhabditida; Rhabditidae. The record is from RNAcentral.
UCCUAUUCAGGCAAGGUACAG